UCUGAAUUAGGAACUAAUCGUGCAUCGUAUGAGGCUGGACCGCGAUCACGUAUAUGUCCCCAAUGGCGAAGAGAUAUACGUGACCCUAUAAUAGAGAAGCAGGUGGUACAAUCGGAUUGGCAGACUUGGAAAGGUGAUUCUGGUAUAUUGUGCUAUAACUUCAAAGAGUUAUUCCAAGUACGGUGAACAGAUGGAUGCCCGUAAGUCAUGACAAAACUUUUCUCAAUUCCCGGAUGCAGUUUUUAGUUUUCUACAACUUCCCAGUUCAUAAGAAAUCAUCGUUUAUUUAUUGAAUGAUGCAAUAUUGCUACAGAUAAGUUAUUGAUAUUUAUUUCUCCUCAAAGAGAACAAGUUUUAUUUUGAUGAAAAAUAUUCAGCUGUGCUAGACGCAUAUCUUAGAACACAGAAAAUAAUUCAAUUUUGCUCAUAACGCGGGAUAAUUGGACCGAAACUUUCAAAUAAUACACAAUUGUUGCAUUCAAAUUUACCCCUCAGGCACUUGACCCUUAUAUAAUGGUGAAUGCAGAGAUGUCGAACAUUUACGCUUGCCUACAUCAUAAUUCACUCAAACAAAGUUGUAGUGAUUCCGGCGAAUUUUUGAUGAAGGUCUCAAAAGACCAACUAUAAGGAAAUUGGGAUGAAAGAGGGUGAAUUGAUAAGGUUUGUAUUGAUGGCCCUCGGCCAUGGGUCUAGUGCUAUAAUUCAAUAUGGUUUAAUGGAUUGUAAACCCCGAUGGCCAAGAGAGAUAACCGCUUUAAAUGUGGUUUCAAUGACCCGUUGAAUGCAGAGUGAUGUUCAUCAUUACUUUCAAUUUAUCGAUUGACUCCACCGUGGAGUCAGCGUCUUGUAACUUUGACGGACGUUGUCGUAAUGGAAUUUAUAACAUCUAUCCGAGUAGAGCAAUUUUGAUACGCGAAUUUGGUUAUCGACAGGUUAAUCACGUCAGGUGAUUGAACGUCAAUAGUGUUAUGAAUACAGGAUGAUGUUACUCUUACAUUGAAUGUGAGCACUUACUAAGACAAAAUCGAUUACAUGAUUUAAUGAUAACAGCAUCCAACCAAAUUCGGUCAAACUGUCUGCCAGAGAUGGAACUGAUGAAACUGUAAUCAUUUCAUGGAUUUUUUUACGCUAAAUUCAAAGGUAUUUAACGAAUUUCGCUACUACGUCAGGUUUAAAAUGAAAAAAGUUGAAGAUUGGAAAAUAAAUGAAAUAAACGUUGCGAAGGAAUAAAAGACUUCCUAAUAUCACAUCAAAACGGAUGGAAAAAAAUAAUUUCGAAAGAUUGAGCUCUCAUGUGAAAUAAAUUUCCCCUGAAACCGAAGCUCUGUUAGAAAAAAACUGAUAC
Long non-coding RNA from Diachasma alloeum, 1345 nucleotides. RefSeq lists it as uncharacterized. The record is from RefSeq and is a predicted model, not a curated record. NCBI's taxonomy places the organism in Eukaryota, Metazoa, Arthropoda, Insecta, Hymenoptera, Braconidae. The transcript is spliced from 3 exons.